Molecule: ribosomal RNA, 414 nt
Filed under: uncultured Tulasnellaceae
Lineage: Eukaryota; Fungi; Basidiomycota; Agaricomycetes; Cantharellales; Tulasnellaceae
Description: LSU rRNA
Rfam family: Bacterial large subunit ribosomal RNA
Source: RNAcentral
UCUCGGCAAAUUAUCCUCAUAAGUUAGACGAUAUGAAGAACCACUGAAUAUUAGUUUAAGGUUUCCUUAAUUAAUGUAAAGUGGUGGCACAGAAUCGGAGGCCCCGACUGUUUACUUAAAACACAGCUUUCUGCGACGAAUAAUAUCUUUGUAUAGAAAGCGAAUUUUGCCCAAUGCCAUUAAUAUAAGGUCGAUAAGCGCAUAGCGUAAUUAUUGUCUGAAGUUCUGGUCAAUGGCGGUCUUAUCUAUGAGGAUCCUAAGGUAGCAAAAUUAAUUGUCCAUUAAAUGUGGUCCUGACUGAAUAAAGUAACGAUGGUCUCGCUGUCUCUACAAGUAUCUCAGUGAAAUUGAAUUAGCCGUGCAGAUGCGGUUUAACUUCGGGUAGACGGGAAGACCCUAUGCAGCUUCUACUGA